UACGUAGGGGGCAAGCGUUGUCCGGAAUCAUUGGGCGUAAAGAGCGCGUAGGCGGCCCUGUAAGUCCGCUGUGAAAGUCAAGGGCUCAACCCUUGAAUGCCGGUGGAUACUGCAGGGCUAGAGUCCGGAAGAGGCGAGUGGAAUUCCUGGUGUAGCGGUGAAAUGCGCAGAUAUCAGGAGGAACACCAAUAGCGAAGGCAGCUCGCUGGGACGGUACUGACGCUAAGGCGCGAAAGCGUGGGGAGCGAACAGG
This 253-nucleotide ribosomal RNA is filed under the name uncultured bacterium. RNAcentral describes it as "partial 16S ribosomal RNA". It matches the Rfam family "Bacterial small subunit ribosomal RNA", at positions 524 to 776 of the family's 1533-position model. The record is from RNAcentral.